RNAcentral lists this small RNA (158 nucleotides) under Streptomyces sviceus. RNAcentral's name for it is "c-di-AMP sequence". It matches the Rfam family "c-di-AMP riboswitch aptamer (ydaO/yuaA leader)". Rfam says of the family: This family represents a conserved RNA structure found upstream of the ydaO and yuaA genes in Bacillus subtilis and related genes in other bacteria. The record is from RNAcentral. Lineage: Bacteria; Bacillati; Actinomycetota; Actinomycetes; Kitasatosporales; Streptomycetaceae.
GGACAGUCAUCGCCGAGUCCCCGUAGGCGCGAGCCAGGGGAGCCGGGGACCCACCGUCCCUGGGGUGAAUCGGACGCCCGCGCACCGCGAGGGGGUCCGUAGGAGACCUUCCUGCUCCGAACCCGUCAGCUAACCCGGUAGGCGAGAAGGAAGGAAAG